This 201-nucleotide ribosomal RNA is filed under the name Escherichia coli. RNAcentral's name for it is "partial 16S ribosomal RNA". It matches the Rfam family "Bacterial small subunit ribosomal RNA", at positions 1 to 207 of the family's 1533-position model. The record is from RNAcentral. Lineage: Bacteria; Pseudomonadati; Pseudomonadota; Gammaproteobacteria; Enterobacterales; Enterobacteriaceae.
UUAAAUUGAAGAGUUUGAUCAUGGCUCAGAUUGAACGCUGGCGGCAGGCCUAACACAUGCAAGUCGAACGGUAACAGGAAGCAGCUUGCUGCUUUGCUGACGAGUGGCGGACGGGUGAGUAAUGUCUGGGAAACUGCCUGAUGGAGGGGGAUAACUACUGGAAACGGUAGCUAAUACCGCAUAACGUCGCAAGACCAAAGA